UAGCUCAGUUGGUAGAGCAUGGUGUUUGCAACGCCAGGGUUGUGGGUUCUUUUCCCAC
This is a non-coding RNA of Salmo salar (Atlantic salmon), 58 nucleotides long. Lineage: Eukaryota; Metazoa; Chordata; Actinopteri; Salmoniformes; Salmonidae. The record is from Rfam.